Molecule: ribosomal RNA, 400 nt
Filed under: uncultured bacterium
Lineage: Bacteria
Description: bacterial SSU rRNA
Rfam family: Bacterial small subunit ribosomal RNA
Source: RNAcentral
GGAAUCUUAGACAAUGGGCGCAAGCCUGAUCUAGCCAUGCCGCGUGAGUUAUGAAGGCCUUAGGGUCGUAAAGCUCUUUCGCCUGUGAAGAUAAUGACUGUAGCAGGUAAAGAAACCCCGGCUAACUCCGUGCCAGCAGCCGCGGUAAUACGGAGGGGGUUAGCGUUGUUCGGAAUUACUGGGCGUAAAGCGCGCGUAUGCGGACAUUUAAGUCAGAGGUGAAAUCCCAGGGCUCAACCCUGGAACUGCCUUUGAUACUGGGUGUCUUGAGUUCGAGAGAGGUGAGUGGAAUUCCGAGUGUAGAGGUGAAAUUCGUAGAUAUUCGGAGGAACACCAGUGGCGAAGGCGGCUCACUGGCUCGAUACUGACGCUGAGGUGCGAAAGUGUGGGGAGCAAACAG